RNAcentral lists this ribosomal RNA (254 nucleotides) under uncultured bacterium. RNAcentral describes it as "partial 16S ribosomal RNA". It matches the Rfam family "Bacterial small subunit ribosomal RNA", at positions 524 to 777 of the family's 1533-position model. The record is from RNAcentral.
UACGUAGGGUGCAAGCGUUAAUCGGAAUUACUGGGCGUAAAGCGUGCGCAGGCGGUUUGGUAAGACAGAUGUGAAAUCCCCGGGCUCAACCUGGGAAUUGCAUUUGUGACUGCCCGACUAGAGUGUGUCAGAGGGGGGUAGAAUUCCACGUGUAGCAGUGAAAUGCGUAGAGAUGUGGAGGAAUACCGAUGGCGAAGGCAGCCCCCUGGGUUAACACUGACGCUCAGGCACGAAAGCGUGGGGAGCAAACGAGG